This 640-nucleotide ribosomal RNA is filed under the name Pseudomonas sp. Its description in RNAcentral is "bacterial SSU rRNA". It matches the Rfam family "Bacterial small subunit ribosomal RNA", at positions 89 to 724 of the family's 1533-position model. Lineage: Bacteria; Pseudomonadati; Pseudomonadota; Gammaproteobacteria; Pseudomonadales; Pseudomonadaceae. The record is from RNAcentral.
GAUUCAGCGGCGGACGGGUGAGUAAUGCCUAGGAAUCUGCCUGGUAGUGGGGGACAACGUUUGGAAAGGAACGCUAAUACCGCAUACGUCCUACGGGAGAAAGCAGGGGACCUUCGGGCCUUGGGCCUAUCAGAUGAGCCUGGGUCGGAUUGGCUAGUUGGUGAGGUAAUGGCUCACCAACGCGACGAUCCGUAUCCGGUCUGAGAGGAUGAUCAGUCACACUGGAACUGAGACACGGACCAGACUCCUACGGGAGGCAGCAGUGGGGAAUAUUGGACAAGGGGCGAAAGCCUGAUCCAGCCGUGCCGCGGGUGUGAGGAAGGUCUUCGGAUUGUAAAGCACUUUAAGUUGGGAGGAAGGGGUAAGGGCGAAUACCUUGCUGUUUUGACGUUACCGACAGAAUAAGCACCGGCUAACUCUGUGCCAGCACCCGCGGUAAUACAGAGGGUGCAAGCGUUAAUCGGAAUUACUGGGCGUAAAGCGCGCGUAGGUGGUUCGUUAAGUUGGAUGUGAAAUCCCCGGGCUCAACCUGGGAACUGCAUUCAAAACUGACUGACUAGAGUAUGGUAGAGGGUGGUGGAAUUUCCUGUGUAGCGGUGAAAUGCGUAGAUAUAGGAAGGAACACCAGUGGCGAAGGCGA